This 889-nucleotide unclassified non-coding RNA is filed under the name Leishmania donovani. Its description in RNAcentral is "gene:unknown". Lineage: Eukaryota; Euglenozoa; Kinetoplastea; Trypanosomatida; Trypanosomatidae. The record is from RNAcentral.
UGCGUGGUAUCCAGGACCAGUACAGACUCUGUGAGGAAGCCAAGCAGUUCCUUAAUCCCUGCCGAAUGCCGAACCAUCUGCAGUGGUGACCGGGUCAAGUGCCUACGACAUACGGGGAGGUGAGCGCGGUGUAUCCCUACCGCUGUCAGAAGCCACGUCCUGGAUGGCGUUUUCUCGGAUCGAGCUGCGACAGCAAAUAUGCUUGCGCCAUCCAUGUGAUAGGUAGAAUGCCAGCGCAACUCGAGCGUAUCCCACCUGUUCCUCGCUGCCUGCUGGUGAGAGAAGCCUGCGCCCCCUCGAGGGGGUGCACUAGGUAGCGAUCGGCGAGGCGGGGGCGGGUAGAGUUUGAGGUAGAGGUCGUGCUCCGAUGGCUGAGGGCACUGCUGUAACGUGCGACCUCGGCUGCUUGGCACCGCGGAAUGGGGCCUGUGACAAAGCCGGGUAGUGUGUAGAUUAAAUCAUGUUGUAUGGGAGGACUGAUCACGUGGCAAAAAAAAAAAUGUUUUUUUUUUUUGCUUCGCGAUGGUGGGAGGAUGUGGCGCAAAGAGAGAGACAGACUAGAAGAGAGUGAGGUAGUGUGUGUGGAGAGCGUCUACUAUGUCUGUGCAUGUGUGUCUGUGUGCUGCGUUUGCUCGUACCUGAGGGCGUGUCUCUCUCUUCCUAUCUCUUCGCGCCGCCGUUGCCGGCGGGGCCCAGCGGCGACAACAACAGAGGGAAAGAUCCGCGUGGAUGUUGGCUAAUAACCACCAAGCAAGAACAUCCAAAUACGCAAGAAGAAGUGAACACAUCAACGGGCGCCUCUUCGCUUUGCUCCCCGGGGCGCGCAUCUCAUUCCACGUUGCACUUGCUUCACCUUCCCCGCCCCGCCCCGCCCCCCCCCGCGCCCCAG